This 104-nucleotide small nuclear RNA is filed under the name Camelus dromedarius (Arabian camel). Lineage: Eukaryota; Metazoa; Chordata; Mammalia; Artiodactyla; Camelidae. The record is from RNAcentral.
GUGCUCACUUUGGCAGCACAUAUACUAAAACUGGAACGAUACAGAGAUUAGCAUGGCCCCUGUGCAAGGAUGACACAUAAAUUCGUGAAGCAUUGAAAAAAAGU